RNAcentral lists this ribosomal RNA (451 nucleotides) under uncultured bacterium. Its description in RNAcentral is "bacterial SSU rRNA". It matches the Rfam family "Bacterial small subunit ribosomal RNA", at positions 28 to 505 of the family's 1533-position model. The record is from RNAcentral.
GAUGAACGCUGGCGGUAGGCUUUACACAUGCAAGUCGAGCGAUGAAAGCUCUCUAGCAAUAGAGAGACGGAUUAGCGGCAAACGGGUGAGUAACACGUAGGAACUUCCCUUUAGUUUGGGAUAGCUAGCUGAAAAGUUAGGUAAUACCAAAUGUGACCGAAAGGUUAAAGGAGCAAUUCGCUAAAGGCAAGGCCUGCGUCCCAUCAGCUAGUUGGUAAGGUAAUGGCUUACCAAGGCUAAGACGGGUAGCUGGUCUGAGAGGACGAUCAGCCACACUGGGACUGAGACACGGCCCAGACACCUACGGGUGGCAGCAGUGGGGAAUUUUCGGCAAUGGGGGAAACCCUGACCGAGCCAUACCGCGUGCAGGAUGAAGGCUUUCGGGUUGUAAACUGCUGUGGAGAAUUACUAACACAAUGAAGGAUUCUCUAGAAAGAGGUUGCUAACUCUG